Molecule: long non-coding RNA, 2315 nt
Organism: Zea mays
Lineage: Eukaryota; Viridiplantae; Streptophyta; Magnoliopsida; Poales; Poaceae
Exons: 3
Source: RefSeq, a predicted model, not a curated record
CGCGUGCAAGCACACACGGAGGCAAAUCGAUCGCCAUCGUGGGCAUCGAGAGUAUCGACGCAUCUGCCUGCUAUCUUCAUCAGUCUAUCUCGACCCAUUCCCGCGAGCCGUCCCCCUUCCCUCUUCAUCCGCUCGCUCCGUCUCCCGCGCUCCUGCCAUCCCCUCCGGCCACUCCGACCUUCCGUGGAGGGAGAUUCCUUGCCCGGUGGGAAUCUCAGGGCUGAUUUGAAGACUGCCGGCAAAGAUCCAUCGAGGAGGCGGCGAUUCCAUCCCGAAUCACGACAUCCGGCCUAAGCGAAGGAGCUGAAUAGGCGCGCAUCACCCUCGUCGUCCUAGCCGUCACCGGCUCCAUUUGAAUGUGCCUUAAGUUGCUAGUCCCCGAACCCUAUCCCUCCGCCGUUCUCAAGGUGCAGGUCCACCUGAUGCUACACAACUCGCCUGCCGAGCUCGACGUCCCAUCGUCGGCUUCCUCUCUCCAGGGUCCAGGCAAGUCCCCGAACCCUAUCCCUCCGCCUGUCCCUUAGAGGGGCAGGAGCAUACGUAUCAUCGUCUUUUGCAAUAACUAGUAACGGUUGCGCGCCUCGCGUGCGUGGAUAAAAAAUUGCACGCAUGGAUAAAAAGUGUACAUGGAUAAAAAUGUAAUGUAAAUGAUAAUUACAGUAUUAUGUCGUUUAGAAGAUGUGCAUACACAUUUUGCAAUUGUAGAGAUAAUUCAGUAAGCUGUUCAUACACAUUUUACAAAGGUAGAGAAGGGGCUAAUUCUGUCUUUUUCAUCUUCUGAAAUUAGUUUCUUAUAUUUACACAAUUUCUUCUAAGGUUAAACAUGAAUACAUCCAUAAUUAUACCGUGUGCAUAAAAUAAGCACCUUAGAACUUCAUAGAGUGUUCAUGUAGAAGCCUAGAAGGCAAUAUCUAGUUUUGGGAAGUUUUUUUGGUAGUUUCUUUUCGGAUGCGUAAGGGUUCUUGCUUGAACCUGUUGAUGAAUGAUCAUGAAAAAAUAGCGAGGUGCUAUAAAUUUUACUUAUGGACUAUUUAGUCAGGUAGCCCAUUUCAAGAGUUUGAGAGUAUUGAGACUCUACGAAAAAGUUAUACAUAAAAAGCAUGAUAGAUGCACAUAAAUAUUAAUUUAAAUUCGUAAUAAGAAACAAAAACACGUGCACAGAAAUAAUAAUACCAGAAGAACAAAAUUUCUGGUUAAAUGCCAACAACAACAACAAUGUGAUCUUUUAACUACAUAUUGAAAUUUUCCUGUCAAGCAUUGAAUGUGUACAACAGUGAGCGCUUGCUUUGAAGCGAUAUCCGUAUAUAUAGCAUCACACAACGCAUACAAAUACAUUACACACUCAGUAAGCUAGUGAAUCAUAGUAUGAUGUUGCACGUGGAUUUGGUACGUUUUUUUUGUUGGGUUUCUUACAAAAGGUCUUCAUUAUUUCAGUGUAUAGAAACUUUUGAAAGUGAGUGUAUACUACACUGUUUGAGAUUGUUAUAUACUUCCUUGUGUUGUAACUUUGAUUGACUUAAUAUAAAGGAGAAAAUAUGUUUUAGUGUAUUAGGAUUGUGUUUCUAGUUUAUUCUGAGUCGGUUUGUAGCAUAUUUUUUUAGCUGGUUACAGUUUAUAGCAUAUUAAAGCUUUGUAUUGUUUGCACUGUGACAUAUACCUCAGUAGUUGAGCAUUAUUGAAUAUAUGCUGCCAUGGUGUCAUUCAAGUACCUUUUCUUCAUUGAUUGUAUAUGUAUUGUCUUUUUAUCUACCCAAUGGGCAUGGUAACGUAGAUAAGGAAACCAUACCUGAUAUCCUUGAAGUUGCAGUUUCAGUAGAAGGGAUUUACAAUGUUUCUAUAUGAUGAAUGGGACUGCGAAAUUAAGAAGUGAAUCUUUCUAUGCGUUGGCAGAUAAACUGAGCAGUGAGGGGUCUUGAUGGUAGCAGAGUAGGUCCUUGCUGUGUUGGAAGGUAAACUAAGCAGUGAGGGGUCCUGACGUAUGCAGAGAGCAUUGAGAAAAGGCACAUGAGGGGCAGUAAGAGGACAACAGGUCCUACUGUUGUUGGAAAAUAAAUUGAGCAGGUGCUCGUGGCGGCUAUAGAAAAAGGCACGAGGGGCGGCUAGAGGAGAGCAGUUCCUGGUGUGCGUUGGAGAGUGUUAAUUACCUGUGUGUGUACCUGAGGCCUUUAGUUGUACACCACGCCUUUGGAGGUUUCUAUCGUCCUAAUUAAUCGACCCAUAGGUGGUAGGCGGCUUGGUUGCUAUUUGUACAUUACUUUUGGAGGCCGCUGGUUGUAUAUAUGUGACAAUGUUUGGAAAGUGUUGAACAUUUCUUA